GGAGUAACUCAGUGGUAGGGUGCAUGCUUAGCAUGCAUGAGGUCCUGAGUUCAAUCCCCAGUACCUCCA
This 69-nucleotide transfer RNA is filed under the name Camelus bactrianus (Bactrian camel). It matches the Rfam family "tRNA". From Rfam's summary of the family: Transfer RNA (tRNA) molecules are approximately 80 nucleotides in length. Their secondary structure includes four short double-helical elements and three loops (D, anti-codon, and T loops). The record is from Rfam by way of RNAcentral. RNAcentral also lists the same sequence under 1 other name. Lineage: Eukaryota; Metazoa; Chordata; Mammalia; Artiodactyla; Camelidae.